This 253-nucleotide ribosomal RNA is filed under the name uncultured bacterium. RNAcentral describes it as "partial 16S ribosomal RNA". It matches the Rfam family "Bacterial small subunit ribosomal RNA", at positions 524 to 776 of the family's 1533-position model. The record is from RNAcentral.
UACGUAGGGUGCAAGCGUUAAUCGGAAUUACUGGGCGUAAAGGGCGCGUAGGCGGCUUAACAAGUCACUUGUGAAAUCUCCGGGCUUAACUCGGAACGGCCAAGUGAAACUGUCAAGCUAGAGUGCAGAAGGGGCAAUCGGAAUUCUUGGUGUAGCGGUGAAAUGCGUAGAUAUCAAGAGGAACACCUGAGGUGAAGACGGGUUGCUGGGCUGACACUGACGCUGAGGCGCGAAAGCCAGGGGAGCAAACGGG